CCUACGGGUGGCAGCAGUGAGGAAUAUUGGUCAAUGGGCGCGAGCCUGAACCAGCAAAGUAGCGUGAAGGAUGACUGCUCUACGGGUUGUAAACUUCUUUUAUAAAGGAAUAAAGUGAUGCACGUGUGCCACUUUGUAUAUACUUUAUGAAUAAGGAUCGGCUAACUACGUGCCAGCAGCCGCGGUAAUACGGAGGAUCCGAGCGUUAUCCGGAUUUAUUGGGUUUAAAGGGAGCGUAGGUGGGUUGUUAAGUCAGUUGUGAAAGUUUGCGGCUCAACCGUAAAAUUGCAAUUGAUACUGGCAGUCUUGAGUACAGGAGAGGUAGGCGGAAUUCGUGGUGUAGCGGUGAAAUGCGUAGAGAUCACGAAGAACACCGGUUGCGAAGGCAGCUUACUGGACUGCAACUGACACUGAGGCUCGAAAGUGUGGGUAUCAAACAGGAUUAGAUACCCUAGUAGUC
Molecule: ribosomal RNA, 460 nt
Filed under: uncultured bacterium
Lineage: Bacteria
Description: partial 16S ribosomal RNA
Rfam family: Bacterial small subunit ribosomal RNA
Source: RNAcentral